Molecule: ribosomal RNA, 497 nt
Filed under: uncultured bacterium
Lineage: Bacteria
Description: partial 16S ribosomal RNA
Rfam family: Bacterial small subunit ribosomal RNA
Source: RNAcentral
GACGAACGCUGGCGGCGUGCCUAAUACAUGCAAGUUGAGCGCUGAAGGUUGGUACUUGUACCAACUGGAUGAGCAGCGGACGGGUGAGUAACGCGUGGGGAAUCUGCCUUUGAGCGGGGGACAACAUUUGGAAACGAAUGCUAAUACCGCAUAAAAACUUUAAACACAAGGUUUAAGUUUGAAAGAUGCAAUUGCAUCACUCAAAGAUGAUCCCGCGUUGUAUUAGCUAGUUGGUGAGGUAAAGGCUCACCAAGGCGAUGAUACAUAGCCGACCUGAGAGGGUGAUCGGCCACAUUGGGACUGGGACACGGCCCAAACUCCUACGGGAGGCAGCAGUAGGGAAUCUUCGGCAAUGGACGAAAGUCUGACCGAGCCACGCCGCGUGAGUGAAGAAGGUUUUCGGAUCGUAAAACUCUGCUGGUAGAGAAGAACGUUGGUGAGAGUGGAAAGCGCAUCAAGUGACGGUAACUAACCAGAAAGGGACGGCUAACUACGUG